This 1399-nucleotide ribosomal RNA is filed under the name uncultured bacterium. RNAcentral describes it as "16S ribosomal RNA". It matches the Rfam family "Bacterial small subunit ribosomal RNA". The record is from RNAcentral.
AGAGUUUGAUCCUGGCUCAGGAUGAACGCUAGCGACAGGCUUAACACAUGCAAGUCGAGGGGCAGCGGGGUAGUGCUUGCACUACUGCCGGCGACCGGCGCACGGGUGAGUAACACGUAUGGAACCUGCCCGCAGCAGGGGGGUAAGCGGAAGAAAUUCCGUCUAAUACCGCGUAACAACGUUGGGAGGCAUCUCCCGAUGUUUAAAGAUUUAUCGGCUGCGGAUGGCCAUGCAGCGCAUUAGCUGGUCGGCGGGGUAACGGCCCACCGAGGCGACGAUGCGUAGGGGUUCUGAGAGGAAGGCCCCCCACACUGGUACUGAGACACGGACCAGACUCCUACGGGAGGCAGCAGUGAGGAAUAUUGGUCAAUGGGCGGGAGCCUGAACCAGCCGAGCCGCGUGAGGGAAGAAGGUACAGCGUAUCGUAAACCUCUUUUGUCAGGGAACAAAGGCGGGGACUAGUCCCCGGAUGAGGGUACCUGAAGAAAAAGCAUCGGCUAACUCCGUGCCAGCAGCCGCGGUAAUACGGAGGAUGCGAGCGUUAUCCGGAUUUAUUGGGUUUAAAGGGUGCGCAGGCGGCCUGUUAAGUCAGCGGUAAAAGCCCGGGGCUCAACCCCGGCGAGCCGUUGAAACUGGCGGGCUGGAGUUGGAGAGAAGUACGCGGAAUGCGCGGUGUAGCGGUGAAAUGCUUAGAUAUCGCGCAGAACCCCGAUUGCGAAGGCAGCGUACCGGCUCCACACUGACGCUGAGGCACGAAAGCGUGGGUAUCGAACAGGAUUAGAUACCCUGGUAGUCCACGCAGUAAACGAUGAAUGCUUGCUGUCCGGGCAGAGAUAUGCCUGGGGGGCGAAGCGAAAGCGAUAAGCAUUCCACCUGGGGAGUACGCCGGCAACGGUGAAACUCAAAGGAAUUGACGGGGGCCCGCACAAGCGGAGGAACAUGUGGUUUAAUUCGAUGAUACGCGAGGAACCUUACCCGGGCUCAAACGGGAGGCGGCAGGGGCAGAGACGCCCCUUUCCCUCGGGACGUCUUCCGAGGUGCUGCAUGGUUGUCGUCAGCUCGUGCCGUGAGGUGUCGGCUUAAGUGCCAUAACGAGCGCAACCCCCGCGUGCAGUUGCCAGCAGGAAAGGCUGGGGACUCUGCACGGACUGCCGGCGCAAGCCGCGAGGAAGGCGGGGAUGACGUCAAAUCAGCACGGCCCUUACGUCCGGGGCGACACACGUGUUACAAUGGGGGGUACAGCGGGAAGCCAGGCGGCGACGCCGAGCGGAACCCGAAAGCCCCUCUCAGUUCGGAUCGGAGUCUGCAACCCGACUCCGUGAAGCUGGAUUCGCUAGUAAUCGCGCAUCAGCCAUGGCGCGGUGAAUACGUUCCCGGGCCUUGCACUCAACGCCCGUCA